Molecule: ribosomal RNA, 165 nt
Filed under: uncultured bacterium
Lineage: Bacteria
Description: partial 16S rRNA
Rfam family: Bacterial small subunit ribosomal RNA
Source: RNAcentral
GUGGGGAGUAUUGGACAAUGGGCGAAAGCCUGAUCCAGCCAUGCCGCGUGUGUGAAGAAGGUCUUCGGAUUGUAAAGCACUUUAAGUUGGGAGGAAGGGCAGUAAGUUAAUACCUUGCUGUUUUGACGUUACCGACAGAAUAAGCACCGGCUAACUCUGUGCCAG